RNAcentral lists this ribosomal RNA (501 nucleotides) under uncultured bacterium. RNAcentral's name for it is "bacterial SSU rRNA". It matches the Rfam family "Bacterial small subunit ribosomal RNA", at positions 15 to 507 of the family's 1533-position model. The record is from RNAcentral.
GAUCAUGGCUCAGAUUGAACGCUGGCGGCAUGCUUUACACAUGCAAGUCGAACGGCAGCACGGGCUUCGGCCUGGUGGCGAGUGGCGAACGGGUGAGUAAUGCAUCGGAACGUGCCCAUGUUGUGGGGGAUAACUACGCGAAAGCGUGGCUAAUACCGCAUACGCCCUGAGGGGGAAAGCGGGGGGAUUCUUCGGAACCUCGCGCAAUUGGAGCGGCCGAUGUCAGAUUAGCUUGUUGGUGAGGUAAAGGCUCACCAAGGCGACGAUCUGUAGCGGGUCUGAGAGGAUGAUCCGCCACACUGGGACUGAGACACGGCCCAGACUCCUACGGGAGGCAGCAGUGGGGAAUUUUGGACAAUGGGGGCAACCCUGAUCCAGCCAUGCCGCGUGAGUGAAGAAGGCCUUCGGGUUGUAAAGCUCUUUCAGCCGGGAAGAAAACGCACGCUCUAACAUAGCGUGUGGAUGACGGUACCGGACCAAGAAGCACCGGCUAACUACGUG